AGUGAACGCUGGCGGUAGGCCUAACACAUGCAAGUCGAACGGCAGCACAGUAAGAGCUUGCUCUUACGGGUGGCGAGUGGCGGACGGGUGAGGAAUACAUCGGAAUCUACUUUUUCGUGGGGGAUAACGUAGGGAAACUUACGCUAAUACCGCAUACGACCUACGGGUGAAAGCAGGGGAUCUUCGGACCUUGCGCGAUUGAAUGAGCCGAUGUCGGAUUAGCUAGUUGGCGGGGUAAAGGCCCACCAAGGCGACGAUCCGUAGCUGGUCUGAGAGGAUGAUCAGCCACACUGGAAAUGAGACACGGUCCAGACUCCUAAGGGAGGCAGCAGUGGGGAAUAUUGGACAAUGGGCGGAAGCAUGAUCCAGCCAUAACGCGUGGGUGAAGAAGGACUUAGGGUUGUAAAGCCCUUUUGUUGGGAAAGAAAAGAAGCAGGUUAAUACCGCGCUGUUUUGACGGUACCCAAAGAAUAAGCAAAGGCUAACUUCGUG
This 492-nucleotide ribosomal RNA is filed under the name uncultured bacterium. Its description in RNAcentral is "partial 16S ribosomal RNA". It matches the Rfam family "Bacterial small subunit ribosomal RNA", at positions 29 to 507 of the family's 1533-position model. The record is from RNAcentral.